AGGGCAGCAUGCUGGGAGCGCGUGACGCGCUCCUGAGUGACGGGCGCCGCAGCCAAUGAGAAGCCGCCGUCGGCCGAGCGAGCCCAAUAGGCGCGGGCGGAGCGGCGGCGGGGGGGGGCGGCGCGGCGCCCGCGGCCGGGUAGGGUGUGAGAAGUUAGUGGCGCUGCUGCGGUGCCGUGAGGGGACAGAGACGGCUGGGCUCUGCGAGCGGCGGCGGCCCCGGAUCAGCGCGAUGCUCACGGACGGCACCGCCGCCCCCGUCGGCGACGAGGAGAUCGACUCGGUCGCUCCCCGCGCGCCGCCCGCCGCCGAGCCGCCCGCCGCGGCCGGGCCCUCCCCGCUGGGCUUGCGGGCCGUGCGCCUCUUCGGGGAGGCCGGGCCCGGCGGGCCGGGAGGCCCCGGCGCACCCGCGGCUGGCGAGGCCGCCCUCGACUUCAAGCUGGCGGCCGCAGUGCUGCGGAGCGGGGGUGGCGGCGGCUCCGGCAGCGACGAGGACGAGGUGUCCGAGGUUGAAUCCUUUAUUUUGGACCAAGAAGAUCUUGAUAACCCAGUACUUAAAACCACGUCGGAGUUAUUCUUAUCGAGCGCUGCAGAAGGGGCAGACUUGAGAACUGUGGAUCCAGAAACACAAGCAAGGCUAGAAGCCUUACUGGAGGCAGCAGGGAUUGGUAAAUUGUCCACUGCCGAUGGCAAAGCCUUCGCAGAUCCCGAGGUUCUCCGGAGACUGACGUCCUCUGUCAGCUGUGCACUGGAUGAAGCUGCUGCUGCAUUGACGCGGAUGAGAGCAGAGAACAAUCACAAUGCAGGACAAGUGGACAAUCGCAGUUUGGCAGAAGCCUGCUCGGAUGGGGAUGUCAACGCUGUCCGGAAGCUGUUGGAUGAAGGAAGAAGUGUAAAUGAGCAUACUGAAGAAGGGGAGAGUCUCCUUUGCUUGGCCUGUUCAGCAGGAUAUUAUGAAUUGGCACAAGUGCUGCUAGCAAUGCAUGCAAACGUUGAAGAUCGAGGGAACAAGGGAGACAUAACUCCCUUAAUGGCAGCUGCCAGCGGAGGCUACGUGGACAUUGUUAAGCUGCUCCUUGUUCAUUGUGCAGAUGUCAACGCACAGUCUUCAACAGGGAACACAGCUCUCACUUACGCUUGUGCUGGGGGCUUUGUUGACAUAGUGAAGGUGCUGUUGAAAGCCGGUGCUAAUAUAGAAGACCACAAUGAGAAUGGCCAUACCCCCUUAAUGGAAGCAGCCAGUGCAGGUCAUGUUGAGGUUGCAAGAGUAUUGCUGGAAUAUGGUGCAGGAAUCAACACUCACUCCAACGAGUUCAAGGAAAGUGCACUUACACUUGCAUGCUAUAAAGGCCAUUUAGAUAUGGUUCGUUUUUUGCUUGAAGCUGGAGCUGAUCAAGAACAUAAAACAGAUGAGAUGCACACAGCACUGAUGGAGGCCUGCAUGGAUGGGCACGUGGAAGUGGCACGCUUGCUUUUGGACAGUGGCGCUCAAGUGAACAUGCCUGCAGAUUCAUUUGAGUCUCCACUCACUCUGGCUGCUUGUGGUGGGCACGUGGAGUUAGCAGCUCUCCUGAUUGAGAGGGGAGCUAACCUGGAGGAAGUUAAUGAUGAAGGUUAUACUCCUCUAAUGGAAGCUGCCCGGGAAGGCCAUGAGGAGAUGGUUGCCUUGCUGCUGGCACAAGGGGCAAAUAUAAAUGCACAGACAGAAGAAACACAGGAAACAGCUCUUACUCUGGCAUGCUGUGGAGGGUUUUCUGAAGUAGCUGACUUCCUUAUUAAGGCAGGAGCUGAUAUUGAACUUGGUUGCUCAACACCUUUGAUGGAAGCUGCUCAAGAAGGUCAUCUUGAAUUGGUGAAAUACUUGCUGGCAGCAGGAGCAAAUGUUCAUGCCACCACAGCGACAGGAGACACAGCUUUGACCUAUGCCUGUGAAAAUGGACAUACUGAUGUUGCAGAUGUGUUGCUUCAAGCUGGUGCUGAUCUGGAGCAUGAAUCCGAAGGUGGGAGAACCCCACUAAUGAAGGCGGCACGAGCCGGUCAUCUGUGCACCGUGCAGUUCCUUAUUAGCAAAGGUGCCAAUGUUAACAGGGCCACAGCUAAUAACGACCACACGGUGGUGUCACUGGCGUGUGCAGGAGGUCACCUCGCAGUCGUUGAGCUCCUUCUUGCUCACGGUGCAGAUCCUACUCAUCGGCUGAAGGAUGGCUCAACUAUGCUCAUUGAAGCCGCCAAAGGAGGACAUACAAAUGUUGUUUCUUACUUGCUGGAUUACCCAAACAAUGUUCUGUCAGUUCCUGCGGCAGACUUGUCUCAGCUCACACCUCCAUCUCAGGAUCAGUCUCAGGUCCCACGUGUGCCGGUGCAUACACUUGCUAUGGUUGUACCUCCCCAGGAACCUGACAGAACCCCUCAAGAGAACUCGCCACCUCUCUUGGGAGUGGUGAAAGGUGCAUCCAAGCAGAAGUCAAGUUCCCUGCAGGUAGCAGAUAAGGACCUACUGCCACCUUUUCACCCAUACCAGCCUUUGGAAUGCAUAGUAGAAGAGACUGAAGGCAAGCUGAAUGAACUUGGACAGAGAAUUAGUGCUAUUGAAAAAGCACAACUUAAAUCAUUGGAAUUAAUUCAAGGUGAACCUUUAAAUAAGGAUAAGAUCGAAGAACUUAAAAAGAACAGAGAAGAACAAGUACAGAAGAAGAAGAAAAUAUUGAAGGAGCUGCAGAAGGUGGAAAGGCAGUUGCAGAUGAAAACCCAACAGCAGUUUACCAAAGAAUAUUUGGAGACCAAAGGUCAGACAGACACACCACUUCCCCUGCAGCAGCAGUGCCCACUUACAGGGGUAUUCCCAGAAGUGGAAGCCGAUAAGGGUCUGCCAGAGGAUAACUUUUCAGGGUUACCUCAGGUUGACACAAUCUUGUCUAAAGAUGACGAGCAACAACAGUCUCCACCACCUGCUGAACAAAUAGAGUUUGUCCCUAUCCAGCCUUUGCCAGCACCGCAAUGUAAUUUUUCUGGUAAUUUAGGUUAUAAUGGGACAGAGUCUCUUGAACUUCAGAAAGCAUUAGGGAAUCAGCAGAAUGUAGGACAGCAGCAGCAGAUUGCUGGGCAGGGGCUCUUAGUUCAAGAACCAGACGGAUUAAUGGUUGCCACUCCAGCACAGACGCUUACCGACACUCUUGAUGACCUAAUAGCAGCUGUGAACAGCAGAGUGCCCAGUGGAUCCACCAGCUCCUCACACGCCACCGAAUCCCCCACGCCUGAGCCUUGUUCACAGGCAUCGAGCAAUGUGCCCUCGCAGUCGGUGCUCCCCAUGUAUCCUUCGGUUGACAUUGAUGCACACACCGAAAGUAAUCAUGACACUGCUCUGACCCUUGCAUGUGCGGGAGGUCAUGAAGAACUCGUAUCUGUACUGAUAGCACGUGGUGCCAACAUUGAACACAGAGACAAGAAGGGUUUUACACCUUUGAUUCUGGCUGCAACUGCUGGACAUGUUGGUGUAGUGGAAAUACUUCUGGACAAAGGUGGGGAUAUCGAAGCACAAUCCGAGCGCACAAAGGAUACUCCCCUUUCAUUGGCAUGCUCUGGUGGACGCCAGGAGGUGGUUGAUCUGCUGUUGGCCCGGGGAGCAAACAAAGAACAUAGGAAUGUGUCUGACUAUACACCAUUAAGCCUUGCUGCGUCUGGUGGCUAUGUUAAUAUCAUCAAGAUUCUUCUCAAUGCUGGGGCAGAAAUCAAUUCCAGGACCGGCAGCAAGCUCGGCAUUUCUCCUCUGAUGCUGGCUGCUAUGAACGGCCAUGUCCCUGCCGUGAAGCUGCUGCUGGACAUGGGGUCUGACAUUAACGCCCAAAUUGAGACCAACCGGAACACAGCCCUCACCCUGGCCUGCUUCCAGGGCCGAGCAGAGGUAGUCAGUCUGCUCUUGGACAGGAAGGCCAACGUCGAGCACAGGGCGAAGACUGGCCUCACGCCUCUGAUGGAAGCAGCUUCGGGAGGAUAUGCAGAGGUUGGAAGGGUUCUCCUUGAUAAAGGAGCAGAUGUUAAUGCUCCACCUGUGCCUUCCUCAAGAGAUACAGCUUUAACAAUUGCAGCAGAUAAGGGUCACUACAAGUUCUGUGAGCUCCUGAUUAAUCGAGGAGCACAUAUUGAUGUUCGUAACAAGAAAGGAAACACACCGCUGUGGUUGGCUGCUAAUGGGGGUCACUAUGAUGUGGUUCAGCUGCUUGUGCAAGCAGGAGCAGACGUGGAUGCUGCGGAUAACCGGAAGAUUACACCUCUUAUGUCAGCAUUUCGUAAGGGGCAUGUGAAGGUAGUUCAGUUCCUGGUGAAAGAAGUUAACCAGUUCCCUUCGGACAUUGAGUGCAUGAGAUACAUAGCAACAAUAACGGACAAGGACCUGUUGAAAAAGUGUCACCAGUGUGUGGAGACAAUUGUGAAAGCUAAAGACCAGCAGGCUGCAGAAGCAAAUAAGAAUGCAACUAUACUGCUGAAGGAGCUAGACCUGGAAAAAUCAAGAGAGGAGAGCAGGAAACAAGCUCUUGCAGCUAAAAGGGAGAAAAGAAAGGAAAAGAGAAAGAAGAAGAAAGAGGAACAAAAAAGAAAACAAGAAGAAGAUGAAGAAAACAAGCCUAAAGAAACUCUGGAACUGCAAGAGGAUGAUGAUGAAGAAGAAAACGAUGAUGAAGUGGAGCAAGAAAUUCCUAUAGAGCCUCCUAGUGCAACUACAACAACUACCAUUGGGAUUUCUGCAACUUCCACUACUUUCACAAAUGCGUUUGGGAAGAAGAGAGCUAAUGUGGUGACUACCCCCAGCACAAACAGGAAAAACAAGAAAAAUAAAACAAAAGAGACUCCUCAGAACAUGCAGAUAAUUUUGCCAGAUCAGCAUAUAUCUCUAGCCCAGCAAAAAGCAGAUAAAAAUAAAAUAAACGGAGAGCCAAGAGGUGGUGGUGCGAGCGGGAAUAGCGAUUCGGAUAACUUGGAUAGCACAGACUGCAACAGUGAAAGCAGCAGUGGAGGGAAGAGCCAGGAGCUGAACUUCACGAUGGAUAUGAACUCCUCAGAGCGGCGCUACGCCUCCCUGCUUAUCCCCUCUCAGGAAGAGAAAACAAGCACCUCAGCUUCGAAAACACCCACCAGACUUGAUGGUGAAGGUCAUUCGAAUUCUUUGUCAACUACUUAUAAACCUGUUUCCCUGCCUCUGACCUCUCCAAAUGUGAAGCUGAAUCUGACUAGUCCAAAAAGAGGCCAGAAAAGAGAAGAGGGCUGGAAAGAAGUGGUUAGAAGGCAAGUAGGCAGAGUUUUGAAAGACCCUCCCCCCAGCAACACUCUGCAGCCAACACCAAUUGAGCAAUUUCAGCUGCAGAGAGGAGGGCGCUGCUGCUCGGGAGCAAAAAGGUCAAAGAAGUUGUCUGUCCCAGCUUCGGUUGUAUCUAGAAUAAUGGGAAGAGGUGGGUGCAACAUCACAGCAAUUCAAGAUGUCACUGGUGCCCAUAUUGACGUUGAUAAGCAAAAGGAUAAGAAUGGAGAGAGAAUGAUCACUAUAAGGGGCGGUACGGAGUCGACGCGAUACGCAGUGCAGCUCAUCAAUGCCCUUAUUCAAGAUCCUGCCAAGGAACUGGAAGACUUGAUUCCUAAAACUCAUAUAAGAACCCCUGCUUCGAGUAGCAAAUCAAUCCAUGCAAACUUUUCAUCUGGGGUCAGCACUGCAACUGCUUCAAACAAGAACUCCUUUCCCCUCGGGGCACCGCCCCUCGUCACGUCGCAGUCAUCAACACUAUCUACUUUCCAGCCUACCAACAAACUGAACAAGAAUGUCCCAGCCAACGUGCGCUCAUCUUUUCCAGUGUCUCUUCCUCUAGCUUAUUCUCACCCUCAUUUUGCCUUGCUGGCUGCCCAAACUAUGCAACAGAUCCGGCACCCUCGCUUACCUAUGGCCCAGUUUGGAGGAACUUUUUCACCUUCACCGAACACUUGGGGACCAUUCCCAGUGAGACCAGUUAACCCUGGCAGCACAAACAGCUCUCCAAAGCAUAACAGUUCGAGCCGUGUAGGUAAUCAGAAUGGGAAUAUCCUACAGACGGAGUCUCCUGGAUUAGCUACUUCUACUUGUCCCAUUACUGUCUCUUCUGUAGCUGCUUCCACCCAACCGCUGUGCGUGACCAGUAAUCGGACUCCCUCGUCGGUCAGGAAGCAGUUGUUCGCCUGCGUUCCCAAGACAAGUGCUGCAGCAACAGCAAUCUCAACUGUGACAAGCACCUGUAGCACUAUGCCUUCAGCUUCCUCUGCUCCCCCAAGCAAUGGGCAAGUGCCCCCAGCAUUUCUGCCAUCUAAUGCUCCCCAAGCGCAGCAUUCCGCGCUGAAAGCGGACUCUUUCUCAGCUGUCUCAGCACCCAAAGAGAAGGCGUCAGCACCAGACCAGCCCGCUGCAAGUGCGUGUGCACCGACUUCAGUUGCAAGUAGUUGCAGUAUGUCAGCAAGCAGCAACUCAGGAGUCACUGAAACGCGCCCGUCGAGCAGCCCUGCUCCGCUCAACAAUGUCCAAGAUGAAAUACUGCCAACCAGCAUGUCCGAGAUCAGUCCUUCCGUGCCGAUGCCUUUUUCAUCCAGCUCAGAAACUGCUCCUUUAAGCUUAGCGUCACCCAGGUCAGUCGUUGCAGAUAAUCAGGACAACAGUAACUUACCUCAAGUAGCUGUACCAGCACCUCGAGUUACUCACAGGAUGCAGUCCAGAGGUUCUUUCUAUUCAGUGGUACCAAAUGCAAACCUCCAUCAAGAUCCUCAGUCUAUUUUUGUUACGAAUCAAGUUCCUUUAACACCUUCUCAAGGUCCACCUGCUGCAGUGCAGCUUUCGUCAGCCAUGAACGUUAUGAACGGUUCUCAGAUGCACAUUAACCCAGCAAACAAAUCAUUGCCUCCUACCUUUGGGCCAGCAACGCUCUUCAAUCACUUUAGUAGUCUUUUUGAUAGCAACCAGGUGCCAGCUAACCAAGGAUGGGGAGACUGUCCACUCUCAACCCGAGCAGCAGCUGACCCGUCCUUCACUGUUCAGUCUACCUUUCUGAAUAACUCUGUGCUAGGACACGUGGAAAACGUGCAUCCUGACAACUCCAAGGCUCCUGGUUUCAGGCCACCUUCCCAGCGGGUUUCGACUAGUCCUGUAGGCUUACCCUCUCUAGAUCCAUCCAACAGCUCUACAACUUCUUCUUCAGGUCCUUUGACAGGCUUUUCAGCAAACAUACAAGGAGCACGGGUUUACCUUCAAGGGCCAGCGCCUGUUGGGACUCCCAGCUUUAACAGACAGCAUUUUUCACCACAUCCUUGGACAAGCGCAACAAAUUCAUGUGAAUCUCCUAUUCCAUCAGUUUCCUCAGGAUCAUCUUCGCCCCUUUCAGCUGCUUCUGCACCUUCUAACUUGGGCCAGCCAAAAACGGGUAACGCCAACCAAGACCGAAAGGUUCCCCCGCCCAUCGGGACAGAAAGGCUGGCUAGGAUUCGACAGGGAGGAUCUGUCACCCCGACACCCUUGGGAACCAACUUCACAGCUCCCGUCGGUCACAGUGGCAUUUGGUCCUUUGGAGUUAACAGCGUAUCUGAAGGCUUGUCAGGUUGGUCCCAGCCUGUCAUGGGAAAUCAUCCGAUGCAUCAGCAGCUGUCGGACCCAGGCACGUUUUCUCAGCAUCAGCCAAUGGAGAGAGAUGAUUCUGGGAUAGUGGCUCCCUCGAAUAUUUUCCACCAACCUAUGCCAAAUAGUUUUGUGGAUUUUUCUAAAGGCCUACCCAUCUCCAUGUAUGGCGGCACUCUGAUCCCCUCGCACCCGCAGCUGGCGGAUGGCCCAGGAGGACCCCUCUUUAAUGGGCUCCAUACUCCGGAUCCUGCCUGGAAUCCCAUGAUCAAAGUUGUCCAGAACUCGACAGAAUGUACUGAUGCUCAGCAGAUUUGGCCUGGCACCUGGGCACCUCACAUUGGAAACAUGCAUCUCAAGUACGUCAACUGAUUUAAGGGGGUCUAUCCUUUUUUAGCCUUGUUUGGGAAUCUAUGAUCUUGGAAGAACCCUGGGGAUUUUUUUUUAAUGUGCCUAACUAAGCAAUUUUCUGUGGGCUGGAACAAUGGAAACUUAAUGGCCCACUGUAUAACAACCAAUUGAUUUACCUGUAAAACUGAUUCUGUUCUCUGGUUAGUUUAGCCAUUUUGAACUUAUAAAUCAGACAAAACUAGUGCUUUUGGCUAAACACUACUGAACGCUCCUUGUAUGCAGCAGAGAAAUAGCUGAUGACAUGGACAUGAUUUCAACCUAUUAGGGUGGUAAAUACAUGUAUAAUUGUUUACAGACUUAAAAGCUGAGUAAAUUUCAUGUCGUAUAGUGGCUCUACUUUAUGUAGCCUGUAUUAAUGUGAACUAUUUACCUGAAUAUUCAAUAAAAGGCAAACAGUAUUUAGAGGUUGUGUGUGAGAAUUUUGGAAGAGGCUGGAUGAUGUUGUCUUUGGUAGCUGCUGUCAUGCCCAGUGAUGCAUCUUCUCAGGAUCACAGAAUUAGCACGUGGAUGCAGUCAGGGUUUGGGGGGGGAUUUGAUCCACAGUCAUUUGCUGUACAGUGUCUGCUCAGUCCUUCCCUCUGCCACUUGGUAGCCUUGUAUUUUUGGUCUGUGAAUGUGGUUGUGCACUUUUUUUCUGCCUUUCUGGAUUAGUUCUGCUGCUUUUAGCACUCUUUCCAGGUGUGUUGUCUGAGAUAUGGGGUUUUGUUCAGGGGUUGGAAAUAAUGGAUAAGUUGACAACAUGGCAUCUGAUGCCAUCUCAAUUGGCAGGAGGUAAAUAGGCAGCUCAUACGUAAAUGCAGGACUUCACCUCACUCACUGUGACCAGCUGCCUAAAAGCAGGUCUUGGGAAAGCUGAGACCACUUCCCACUAGAGCAAAACAUGAUGUAUUAAAUUCUAAGCUUUAUGUAACCCUUUAGAUCUGAUAAGAGCUCAUGAAGUCCUCUUCGUGCGGAGGAUGGGGAUUUUUGCGUGCUGCUCAAGAUGAACAUUCAUUUUCUACCCAGGUGCAGAAGUUCUCCACUUCCUGCACUUGGGCUCUGCUUACUUCUGCUUCUGCUCAGUGGUGAUGCAGUAAGUUGAUCCAUUCCUCAAGCAGCUACUGCAGUGCACACAGUGUCCAAUCUAAUGGACCACUUUCAGUGGCCUCUCAGAUGGGAUGGAGACUUCUCCACCUUCUUUCACCUCCAGACAAAUCCUUACAUGCAGCAGCGGAGUUUUCCCCAGAAAAAGCAUGAGGAAGGAGUACUGAAAUCCCGAAAUGCACAAGCAGCAUGCAAAUGCUGCAGGCAGUCAAACCUCUGAGGUGCUACUGGAUGAUAUGUUCAGAUAUUUUUCCUAGUAUUUGAGGAAGAAAUGCAGAAAACAUGGGACUGCUGCUGCCCGUUGGUAGUGCAAACACCAAAGGAGAAGCACUAAGUGUAUUGAAACAGAUGGUAUUAUAGUGCAAGAGGUGCUUGCUCUUGGGCUGAAUUGCAGGGGAGGGGGGGAGCGGUGAAGGGGCCAUAGGCACUGUGUGGCACCACCAUCUCCUCCUGUCCCAUCCAGGGGAGUCACCAUCUCCUAUCCUGGGGGACUACAGCUCCACGCUGGUGGCACCGUGUACUCCACCAUGCCGGGGUAAGACCCAGCAUGGAGAUGGGAUUGUCCUUUCAAUGGAAAGGUGGCCUUAACUGCCCCAGCCCUGCCUAAUUGAGGCAGCUCCUUCCUGAGCAGGUCCCUUCCUAGGCUCUCCACCUCAGAGCUUGGUGCUUGGGUGCAUGGGCACCUGCGCUGGGCACCAGUGUCAGGCAGGCCCACAGGGUGGUGGCUGCCCUGGCAGCCCAGAGUUGGAGUGGAAAAGGGAACCCAGAGCUUUGUAGGAAGAUACUCCUGGAAGCUGGGGCCGUCACUGUCUUGUGGUGCUGCUGGCAGUGCUGCUGGCAGGGUGGAUGCAGCUCCGGUCCCUCAGGGCAAGUCGUGCCCAGGCAGGGCUGGCUGGAGCUGGGGCAGGCACAGGGGCUGCCACAAGGCAUCUGCAAGCCCUGGGGGAAGGUGCUGGUCGGCAGGGCUCCCUCCAGGGCUACCCUAGGCCUGCCCCCUGCCAAAGCCCCUGGUUCAGGAGACCCUGCUCUUUGCUGUCUGUCCUCAGGGUAGCGUGUGCCUAUCCCUGAGCUGGGCAUGUUUCCGUGGGGCCACAGGUGUUGGCUUCAUUGUGUGCUCCACAAGCUUACCUGGGCCAGGAGCCAUGUUGGGUCGUGGCAGAUGUGGGUUGUGCAAUGUGUUUGUUGUGCCGGGACAGGCCUGUCCCGUGCAGGAGCUCUGGGCUCAUGGCUGGAGCCUGGCAGGGAACUGGCGCUUGGCUGCAGAGUCAGCCAGGGAUGGGGGGACGGGGCAGCAGACAUGGUGCAUGGGCUGGCAGUGGGCACCUUGGGGUGCAGUGGGGGGCAGCGUGCACUGUGCACCCAGCAGGCUGGAGGACAUGUCCCCUCCAACCCCAUGGGGUGCCCUUGUGCAGAGCAUAGCAGGGCGGCCUGCUGGUGCCGUGGUGCCAGUGGGGGGGCACUCAGCCGUUGUUCUUUGAUAGCUGCAGAAGCCACUCCAAGCCAGCCACCUCUGUGCUGGGGCAUCAGGCUUGGGCAGAGUGCCCCAGUGCUGGCCCUGCCUUCCUGGCAGCACAGGGGUGGCUGCGGUGUCGGUACCAGUGCUGUGCCCUGGCAGAGCACCAAGGGGAAGGAACAACAUGGGAGGAGCUGCUGGGCAGGGUGGGUGUCACAGUCUGCCGUGCGGAAGCCCCGCAGUGUCCCCAGGCCAUAGCCAAGCGCUGGGUCGCACCUCCUGCUCCCAGCUCUGGCUGCGGUGCUGGGGGUGGCCAGGGCUGGCAGAGCCUGACAGCCCCCUGCUUUUGGCAGGUACCCGCAUCAUCUACGACCACAAGUUCCUGCUGGAGUGCAAGAGUUCACCCGUGGCCAGGACCCCUCCCUGCUGCCUGCCCCAGACCCCCGGUGCCACAUCCCUGGCCCAGUCCAGCCUCGUCAAGCUGGAGGAGCUCAAGGAGCAGAAUGAGAGCGAAGAAGCCAUGCCAGAUCAAGACCAGUUUGAGAUGGACAUCUGAGUUUCCAGCUCCCCGUCUCCAGGCCAUGGCUGGGCCUGUUCCUGGGCCUCGUGGAGGUGCUGGCACCGUGACCAGCUGGCUGCAGCACUCUCUGAUGCUGGGGAUGGAUGUGUGACACUUCAGGCUCUAGCACAACUGGCUGGUGCAAUUGCCUAGGAGCUCAUGCUUGAUCAAUAAACACCAUGAAACCCC
This is an RNA transcript of Strigops habroptila (Kakapo), 11313 nucleotides long. It is a transcript of the gene named ankyrin repeat and KH domain-containing protein 1-like, with no coding region annotated. The transcript is spliced from 36 exons. The record is from RefSeq and is a predicted model, not a curated record. Lineage: Eukaryota; Metazoa; Chordata; Aves; Psittaciformes; Psittacidae.